GUCAGACAAUAAUGCAAUUAUAUAAAUAAUCGUUGAACGUUUGCGAGUAUAUAAAUCGCGAGAAAAUUCUAUUUAACAUCAAUUUCAAUUUUCGUUUUAACGAAGAAAACAGAAUUAAGCAGUAAUAAGAAAAGAUGAAACUUCACACUCUUUUGCUAUUGUGCAUUACACUUUUCGUCACGACCUUCAAUGUCCAAGCAUGUAAAUAUGAAAAAGAAUCUUGUAGUUUACAGCAUACCUGCUGUCCUGGAUUACGAUGCGAUACUGAAAAAUGCAUUCGCUAUUGAACUACUGUUAAGUAUACCUUUGAUUCUAAUUAGAGUAUAUACGCUGUGAAUUAGUGAAAUUUAACUGAUUUAUUAGCGUAUAUACACUUUUUGAAAUUAGUGCUAUACUUAUUUUAAUUCUAAAUAGCAAUACUUGAUGUAAAUUAAAAUUGCAUCAAUUUUUUCUAAUCAAAUUUUUUUACUGUGUAAAUCCAUUGCUUCAAAUAAUA
Long non-coding RNA from Leptopilina heterotoma, 496 nucleotides. RefSeq lists it as uncharacterized. The transcript has 3 exons. NCBI's taxonomy places the organism in Eukaryota, Metazoa, Arthropoda, Insecta, Hymenoptera, Figitidae. The record is from RefSeq and is a predicted model, not a curated record.